This 440-nucleotide ribosomal RNA is filed under the name uncultured bacterium. RNAcentral's name for it is "partial 16S ribosomal RNA". It matches the Rfam family "Bacterial small subunit ribosomal RNA", at positions 338 to 795 of the family's 1533-position model. The record is from RNAcentral.
CCUACGGGAGGCAGCAGUGGGGGAUAUUGCACAAUGGGGGAAACCCUGAUGCAGCGACGCCGCGUGAGUGAAGAAGUAUUUCGGUAUGUUAAGCUCUAUCAGCAGGGAAGAAAAUGACAGUACCUGACCAAGAAGCCGCGGCUAACUACGUGCCAGCUGCCGUGGUAAUACGUAGGGGGCAAGCGUUAUCCGGCUUUACUGGGGGUAAAGGGAGCGUAGACGGUUAUGUAAGUCUGGAGUGAAAGCCGGGGGCCCAACCCCGGGACUGCUGUGGAAACUGUGUAACUGGAGUACAGGAGGGGCAGGCGGAAUGCCUGGUGUAGCGGUGAAAUGCGUAGAUAUCAGGAGGAACACCGACGGCGAAGGCGGCCUGCUGGACUGAAACUGACGUUGAGGCUCGAAAGCGUGGGGAGCAAACAGGAUUAGAUACCCCUGUAGUC